UUUUUGUUUAUGUGCAGCUUGACUGAUCUUAUCUAACAGGAAUCUUAUGCCGAAUACAUUCCUCUCUGUGUCAGGGUACACCAUGUUUUGCAUAACUGCCACAGCCACUGGCGCCCAAUCAAAAAGAGCAGCUCUGUGCCUUUUCACCCUCUAGGGAUUCUAGUGAUAAUUUGUGAUAAGGUCUCAAAACUAUUGCACAACAACUGGAUCUUUGUUUUAUGUUUGCAUGUGUGACAGUAGCUAUAUAGUAUGGGACAAAAAACAAGAGGGAAAAAAUGAGGAGCAUAUAGAUAGUAUAGAUCUCCUCAAAGGCAUCCUAUCUCGCAAUGGAUUACGUAAGAAACAUGGAGAUGAAUAGAUGGAUAAUACACGGAUUGACAGAGAGGCUGUGAAAGCAUGCAACAUUAAGCGUGGGUAAGAAGGAAUGCAGUCCAAGUCAAACACAGGAAGUAGUGGAGACAGAAAUGCUCCUCUACUGCCGGAGACCCCACCUCGGCUGUGCGGUCAUCUCCCCUCUGCUCUCACCCACGCGUGUGUGAAGGAACGGCGUGCAACAGCUUGUAAAAUCUGAGUGAGGAGUAAAGAGGAAGGGCCCGGCUCCUCCCACUAUGUAAAGGCAAGAGACUGUUAAACCCUCCCUUUGGCUGCAUGCUUUGGGAGUCACUUCCACUGAAUGUGCAGUGCAAUCUGAUAUAGUACUGCAGAUGUUUGUCCAGGUGUGAA
Molecule: long non-coding RNA, 723 nt
Organism: Boleophthalmus pectinirostris (great blue-spotted mudskipper)
Lineage: Eukaryota; Metazoa; Chordata; Actinopteri; Gobiiformes; Gobiidae
Exons: 3
Source: RefSeq, a predicted model, not a curated record